AAAGCGGCAAAAUCAUAUUCGUGCAGGGAUAUUUGAAGACGGCUGAAGACCCAGAAGACAGUGUGACUAAUAUUCGUACACGUUUGUAGUCAUAGAUAACACAGUGUAUACUGUUUUAUGUGAUUGUAACUGUCAAGAGAUUAUGGUCAAAUGGCAUAGAAAUUUGUUUCUGUCUUGGUGAAAGGAAUGGAGACUCCAACAUUUGUUCGCUAUGGGAAGGCACAAGAAGUGGCGUGCAUUAGCAAAGAAGAUGAGAAGGAAAAGAAUUAGGCGGGCACUGGCACAAAGGAGAGAUGAAUUACUUCAGAAAGAACAAGAAGAAAGGGAGAAGUCUCCUCGAUACCAAGCCUGGCUCACUGAGCAGAAUGUGUUGGAAGAAUUUCGGCUUGAAGAAGAAUCUCGAUUACAGAUGGAGAGACACCGUCAGUGGGAGCGUGAUGAGGAAUUGGCCCAGCAGCAAUGGAAAGAACGUGAAGAGAGGCUUGCACGGGCUAAAGAGGAGAAAGCUAGACAAGAGUUAAAAAUUCGUGAAGAAUGGGAAUUGGAACAGAGGAGACAAAAGGAGGCUGAGGAGGAGGAAAACCAAAAGGAAGCUGAGAAGCUGAAGAAGCAGGAAGAACUUAUGCGGCAGAUUGAUGACUUCAUAAAACAUGGAGGCGAAUUGCCACCUUCAGUGAACAUUUCAACUGAGACUCACCCAGAUAAACCUGUUUGUCCUUUCUUCUCCAAAACAGGAGCCUGUAGGUUUGGUGAUCGUUGUUCUCGUAAUCACCCAAGACCAGGCAUUAGCAGAGUUUUGUUGAUUCCUAACUUUUAUUCCCAUUUUGGUAUCGAUCAGUCGAUGAUAGAUGAAUAUGACACUGAUCUUAUGCUGGAGUAUGAUGAUACAGAAACUUAUCAGCAUUUCAGGGAAUUCUAUGAAGACGUUCUGCCUGAGUUUGAGCUGUAUGGUCGAGUGGUACAGUUCAAGGUGUGUUGUAACUGUGAGCCACAUUUGCGAGGAAAUGUAUACAUUGAAUAUGCCAGCGAGAGGGAUGCUGUUGCAGCAUUCCAGAAGUUCCAAGGCAGGUGGUAUGGAGGUCGUCAGCUCAACGUUGAAUUUACGUGUGUCUCCUCUUGGAAAUCUGCAUUAUGUGGUUUGUUCUUCAAGAGUCGUUGUCCAAAAGGAAGGAGUUGUAAUUUUCUUCAUGUCUUCCGUAAUCCGGGAAAUGCUUUUGUGGAUGCUGAUCACGGUCGUGGGUAUUCAUGGAGACAUCGGCAACGCAACCCUAGGUCACGAUCAAGAUCGAGGUCCAAGUCUUAUUCUCGCAGUCCUUGUAGGAGGUCACAUAGGAGUAAGGACAGCAAGAGUCAUUGGAGGUGGUCAGAAUCCCCAGAGCCACCACCACACAGUAUGAACGGUGACUCUAAGCAGAAAAGUCAUCACAGUUCUGCUCGCAGAAGCCGUGAAAAGAUUCAUUCUCAAGAAAGGAAAGGAAAGAGAGAUGAGGAAAGAACUAGAAGUAGGAGUUCAAGAACGCUUAACUCUCACAGGAAGGAAAGGAAACGGAAAACAUCUUGGUCCCAUUCCAGAUCCAAGUAAAUAUCCUAAAACACAUUGUAAUGCAUCAGUGAGCAAAAUCUGUGGAGCCAUACAUCUUCUCAGGUUGUUUGUGUGAAUGCAGUCGCUCAGUGGGAUGUAGUGAUUAGGCUGCCGGCUGGAUACCAGAGAAUCAGGGUUCGUUUCUGGCUGGAGGUGGAGAUUCUCUCUUUUCCACUGCAUCAAGACUGCCUGAAAAUAAAAUGAAAAUCUGUUAGCACUUG
Molecule: RNA transcript, 1803 nt
Organism: Cryptotermes secundus
Lineage: Eukaryota; Metazoa; Arthropoda; Insecta; Blattodea; Kalotermitidae
Gene name: U2 small nuclear ribonucleoprotein auxiliary factor 35 kDa subunit-related protein 2
Exons: 12
Source: RefSeq, a predicted model, not a curated record